CUUGCAAGCCGCCGAGAUAUGUAUUUUAUGCAUGAUGGAGCCCCACCCCAUUUUAACCUUGCUGUAAGACACCACUUAAAUAAUACUUUUGAAAACCGUUGGAUAGGUAGAGGAGGACCUGUUGCUUGGCCUCCUCGGUCUCCCGAUCUAACGCCAUUAGAUUUUUAUCUAUGGGGUCACCUCAAAACCUUGGUGUAUUCCACCCCAGUCGAUACUCGGGAAGAACUGCUCCAAAGAAUUAUAUUUCAUUGUGAUAAUAUAAAAAACAAUCUUGGGUUAUUGUGGCGAGUGCAGCAGUCCUCGAUUCGUCGUGCCCGCGAAUGUGUUAAAGUUCACGGAGCCCACGUCGAACCUACUUAUGAAGUUUUUAAUAAUUAAUGGUUUAUUGCUCGUAUUAAAUUCUUGUUCACUGAGCACCAACUCAACGAACCUGGGGCUAAAGAAGCGCAGACUGACCAUAAAACAUGUGGACUCCCUGGAUAAUGGAGUACAAAUGUGAGGCGAACAAUUCAGCUGGAAGCAGGAAAAGUGCCAAGGGCUUCGCUCUGGCAGUCGAAGGAGAAAAAUACCCACUGAUUCAAACAAUACCCGCGGACCAAAUUCUCAAAAAGGGAACGACCGCCUACUUCCACUGUUCGUACCAAAGAGCAGACGUGUUAGAAUGGUACUUAAUGGCACCCUGCAAAUAAACGACGUGAGCGAGGAGGACAUGGGCUGGUACAACUGCGUGGGGAUCAAAAGCGAAUCCACCGAGGUACCAUAGAGCUACACCGCCGAACUAGUUUUGGCUUUUAUAGAACCUUUUACCGAAUCCUCUUUCGAGCCGCCUUUUAUGUUUGGCUCGGAACAACCGGUGGGCGAAGGAACCUUGUUUCAGUUGACUAGUUUGGAACCAAAGAGCUUCCCUUUGGCCAAGAAAUGGUGGCAGAACUCCGCAGGACAUACGAUAAGGACCAUAAAAAGGGAUUGGGGUACAUAAUUAGAGGUUUCUUACAGAUAUCUGAUCGAGGAGACAUCUAUGUCGAUGAUGGCAGACUGAUUAUUACCAAAGUGAAACAGUCUGACGGAGGAAAGUACACUUGCGUCGCAGAAAAUGUUGCAGGAAAAACUGAGAAGACUGUGCGACUUGUUGCGUAAAUUUGAAAUUAUGGUAAAAAUUUAGUGGAGAAUAACUAGAGGCUCCUUUUUUUUAGAUCAUGAUUCUAGGUAGGAUAACUAGGGGUUUCUUAGGAAUUUUGCAAAUAAUUUCUAUUAUUUUUGAUAAUUUUAAAUUAAUUUGGAACGAUUUACAAUUAGAAACAUACCCAACGUGCAUAAUUUAAAUGAACAUUAUGUCUCUUUUAAUAAU
Long non-coding RNA from Anthonomus grandis grandis, 1348 nucleotides. RefSeq lists it as uncharacterized. Lineage: Eukaryota; Metazoa; Arthropoda; Insecta; Coleoptera; Curculionidae. The transcript has 4 exons. The record is from RefSeq and is a predicted model, not a curated record.